AAAUCAGGUAGGACUACCCGCUGAACUUAAGCAUAUCAAUAAGCGGAGGAAAAGAAACUAACAAGGAUUCCCCUAGUAACUGCGAGUGAAGCGGGAAAAGCUCAAAUUUAAAAUCUGGCGGUCUUUGGCCGUCCGAGUUGUAGUCUGGAGAAGCGUCUUCCGCGCUGGACCGUGUACAAGUCUCUUGGAACAGAGCGUCAUAGAGGGUGAGAAUCCCGUCUUUGACACGGACUACCAGUGCUUUGUGAUGCGCUCUCAAAGAGUCGAGUUGUUUGGGAAUGCAGCUCAAAAUGGGUGGUAAAUUCCAUCUAAAGCUAAAUAUUGGCGAGAGACCGAUAGCGAACAAGUACCGUGAGGGAAAGAUGAAAAGCACUUUGGAAAGAGAGUUAAACAGUACGUGAAAUUGCUGAAAGGGAAACGAUUGAAGUCAGUCGCGUCGUCCAGAACUCAACCUGGCUUUUGCUUGGUGCACUUUCUGGUUGACGGGCCAGCAUCAGUUUCGGUCGUCGGAGAAAGGCCUUUGGAAUGUGGCACCUUCGGGUGUGUUAUAGCCUUGGGUCAUAUACGACGGUUGGGACUGAGGACCGCAGCACGCCUUUUGGCCGGGGUUCGCCCACGUACGUGCUUAGGA
Molecule: ribosomal RNA, 631 nt
Filed under: Pseudophlebia setulosa
Lineage: Eukaryota; Fungi; Basidiomycota; Agaricomycetes; Polyporales; Meruliaceae
Description: Hyphodontia setulosa partial 28S ribosomal RNA
Rfam family: Eukaryotic large subunit ribosomal RNA
Source: RNAcentral